RNAcentral lists this ribosomal RNA (457 nucleotides) under Salmonella enterica subsp. enterica serovar Muenchen. RNAcentral describes it as "bacterial SSU rRNA". It matches the Rfam family "Bacterial small subunit ribosomal RNA", at positions 1 to 456 of the family's 1533-position model. RNAcentral also lists the same sequence under 5 other names. The record is from RNAcentral. Lineage: Bacteria; Pseudomonadati; Pseudomonadota; Gammaproteobacteria; Enterobacterales; Enterobacteriaceae.
AAAUUGAAGAGUUUGAUCAUGGCUCAGAUUGAACGCUGGCGGCAGGCCUAACACAUGCAAGUCGAACGGUAGCACAGAGAGCUUGCUCUCGGGUGACGAGUGGCGGACGGGUGAGUAAUGUCUGGGAAACUGCCUGAUGGAGGGGGAUAACUACUGGAAACGGUGGCUAAUACCGCAUAACGUCGCAAGACCAAAGAGGGGGACCUUCGGGCCUCUUGCCAUCAGAUGUGCCCAGAUGGGAUUAGCUAGUUGGUGAGGUAACGGCUCACCAAGGCGACGAUCCCUAGCUGGUCUGAGAGGAUGACCAGCCACACUGGAACUGAGACACGGUCCAGACUCCUACGGGAGGCAGCAGUGGGGAAUAUUGCACAAUGGGCGCAAGCCUGAUGCAGCCAUGCCGCGUGUAUGAAGAAGGCCUUCGGGUUGUAAAGUACUUUCAGCGGGGAGGAAGGUGUUG